GAUCAUGGCUCAGGACGAACGCUGGCGGCGUGCCUAACACAUGCAAGUCGAGCGGAGAUUGAGGAGAAGCUUGCUUCGAGACAAUCUUAGCGGCGGACGGGUGAGUAACGCGUGAGCAACCUGCCUUAUACAGGGGGAUAACGCACCGAAAGGUGUGCUAAUACCGCAUGAGACCACAACAUCACAUGGUGAAGGGGUCAAAGGAGGAAUCCGGUAUAAGAUGGGCUCGCGU
This 232-nucleotide ribosomal RNA is filed under the name uncultured bacterium. RNAcentral describes it as "partial 16S ribosomal RNA". It matches the Rfam family "Bacterial small subunit ribosomal RNA", at positions 15 to 236 of the family's 1533-position model. The record is from RNAcentral.